UAAGCGGAGGAAAAGAAACUAACAAGGAUUCCCCUAGUAACUGCGAGUGAAGCGGGAAAAGCUCAAAUUUAAAAUCUGGUGGUCUUUGGCCAUCCGAGUUGUAAUUUAGAGAAGUGUCUUCCGCGCUGGACCGUGCACAAGUCUCCUGGAAUGGAGCGUCAUAGAGGGUGAGAAUCCCGUCNNGGCACGGACACACCAGGGCUUUUGUGAUACACUCUCGAAGAGUCGAGUUGUUUGGGAAUGCAGCUCAAAAUGGGUGGUGAACUCCAUCUAAAGCUAAAUAUUGGCGAGAGACCGAUAGCGAACAAGUACCGUGAGGGAAAGAUGAAAAGCACUUUGGAAAGAGGGUGAAACAGUACGUGAAAUUGUUGAAAGGGAAACGCUUGAAGUCAGUCACGUUAACCGAGACUCAGCCUUGCCUUGGCUUGGUGUACUUCUUGGCUAACGGGUCAGCAUCAAUUUUGCCCCUUGGAUAAUGGUAAGGGAAAUGUGACACCUUUAUGGUGUGUUAUAGUCUCUUGUCGCAUGCAAGGGUUGGGGUUGAGGAACUCAGUACGCACCUUUGGGUGUCGGGGCUUUGCCUACGAUACGUGCUUAGGAUGUUGGCAUAAUGGCUUUAAACGACC
RNAcentral lists this ribosomal RNA (626 nucleotides) under uncultured Russulaceae. RNAcentral's name for it is "LSU rRNA". It matches the Rfam family "Eukaryotic large subunit ribosomal RNA", at positions 47 to 649 of the family's 3401-position model. Lineage: Eukaryota; Fungi; Basidiomycota; Agaricomycetes; Russulales; Russulaceae. The record is from RNAcentral.